ACGUAGGGGGCAAGCGUUAUCCGGAAUUAUUGGGCGUAAAGGGUGCGUAGGCGGCUUUUUAAGCGCGGGGUGAAAGGCAAUGGCUUAACCAUUGUCAGCCUUGCGAACUGAGAGGCUUGAGUGCAGGAGAGGAAAGUGGAAUUCCUAGUGUAGCGGUGAAAUGCGUUGAUAUUAGGAGGAACACCAGUGGCGAAGGCGACUCUCUGGGCUGUCACUGACGCUGAGGCACGAAAGCGUGGGGAGCAAACAG
RNAcentral lists this ribosomal RNA (250 nucleotides) under uncultured prokaryote. RNAcentral describes it as "partial 16S rRNA". It matches the Rfam family "Bacterial small subunit ribosomal RNA", at positions 525 to 775 of the family's 1533-position model. The record is from RNAcentral.